Molecule: ribosomal RNA, 90 nt
Filed under: Masdevallia solomonii
Lineage: Eukaryota; Viridiplantae; Streptophyta; Magnoliopsida; Asparagales; Orchidaceae
Also listed under: 1 other name
Description: 5.8S ribosomal RNA
Rfam family: 5.8S ribosomal RNA
About the family: 5.8S ribosomal RNA (5.8S rRNA) is a component of the large subunit of the eukaryotic ribosome.
Source: RNAcentral
GACUCUCGGCAAUGGAUAUCUCGGCUCUCGCAUCGAUGAAGAGCGCAGCGAAAUGCGAUACGUGGUGCGAAUUGCAGAAUCCCGCGAACC